This 433-nucleotide ribosomal RNA is filed under the name uncultured bacterium. Its description in RNAcentral is "partial 16S ribosomal RNA". It matches the Rfam family "Bacterial small subunit ribosomal RNA", at positions 29 to 507 of the family's 1533-position model. The record is from RNAcentral.
AGCGAACGCUGGCGGCAGGCUUAACACAUGCAAGUCGAGCGGGCCUUUCGGGGUCAGCGGCGGACGGGUGAGUAACGCGUGGGAACGUGCCCUCUGGUUCGGAAUAACUCAGGGAAACUUGAGCUAAUACCGGAUACGCCCUUUUGGGGAAAGGCUUGCUGCCGGAGGAUCGGCCCGCGUCUGAUUAGCUAGUUGGUGAGGUAACGGCUCACCAAGGCGACGAUCAGUAGCUGGUCUGAGAGGAUGAUCAGCCACACUGGGACCGAGACACGGCCCAGACUCCUACGGGAGGCAGCAGUGGGGAAUAUUGGACAAUGGGCGCAAGCCUGAUCCAGCCAUGCCGCGUGAGUGAUGAAGGCCUUAGGGUUGUAAAGCUCUUUUAUCCGGGACGAUAAUGACGGUACCGGAGGAAUAAGCCCCGGCUAACUUCGUG